This 395-nucleotide unclassified non-coding RNA is filed under the name Hevea brasiliensis (rubber tree). Lineage: Eukaryota; Viridiplantae; Streptophyta; Magnoliopsida; Malpighiales; Euphorbiaceae. The record is from RNAcentral.
GUUUGGUUCCAAGAUUUUUGCAGGUGAAUACAUUGUCUCUGUCUUCUUUCUGCAUUCCCUUCUACGGUUAUAUUCUGCCUUUGUUUUUGUCCUUGUGUCAAGGUUGGGUGUUAGGAUGCCUCUCAGCAAUACAUUUCAUCUAUCAAUAUCUUUGUUCAGGAUAAGAAUGUAUGGGAGUGUAGGAAAAAAAAUCUUACUAUGCUGUUAUGGGUUAAUGCACGCAUUUGACUAGCUGCAAAUUUAACUUCCAUAUGAUAUUAUCAAAUUAUUAAAACUGCAAUUAGCUAGAAAAUGGUGCAAUGUGAGAGACACAAGCAUCAGAAUCUGUUCUGCCCUCAAUUUAUUAUGGCAAAUAUAUUGAAAUCCUUUUAUUCUCAUGGGAAACACAGAUUUUU